RNAcentral lists this long non-coding RNA (1375 nucleotides) under Mytilus galloprovincialis (Mediterranean mussel). Lineage: Eukaryota; Metazoa; Mollusca; Bivalvia; Mytilida; Mytilidae. The record is from RNAcentral.
UUUUAAAUCUAUUUCGUUUAUGUACAAUAAUCAUUUAUAUUAAUAAAAUCUGUAAAUAAGUACACGCUCAAACUAGUUCAACCAAAGCUGAUUGACCUAAAAAACCACCUUAGAGAAAUGUUAAAAAAUGCAGUGUAUUCUACAAUCAAAUAUUUCAUGUUAUUUUAACAAUGACAUUCACAUGGUGUCUUUUAAUUCUGAAAAUAUAAUAACAUUAUAAAUGGUAUUCUAGAUCUGCAUAUGGCUCUAACUACAAAAAUAAACAGACUAGUAUAUAUUUGUUAUGGAGCCAGCUGAAGGACGCCUCCGGGUGCGGGAAUUUCUCGCUACAUUGAAGACCUGUUGGUGACCCUCUGCUGUUGUUUUUUAUUUGGUCGGGUUGUUGUCUCUUUGACACAUUCCCCAUUUCCAUUCUCAAUUUUAAUUACUUUACAUUUUUCAUUUCUGGGCCUUUUAUAGCUUACUAUGCGGUAUGGGUUUUGCUCAUUAUUUAAGGCAUACGGCGACCUAUAGUUGUUAAUUUUUGUGUAUUGUUGAGAGUUGUCUCAUUGGCAAUCAUACCUUGCACAUCUACUGAUUUAAUAGAGACAUACACUACGAAUGAAAAUCACAUUACUAUGUAGCUUAACGUCGUCAACUUUUCAUUACCGUGCAGGCGAAAACCCGGUUGAAAUAGAACAAAAGAAUCGAAGCUCUUUGUUAGAAAAGGAGAUAAAUGCUUACUGUAUUGUUUGCUAUAGUAACACACUUUUUAAAAGUUAAUAGAAACAAAUAAAAUGACAAUUUUAUCCUCAAUUACGAAGUAUUUUAUUUUAAAAACGCCAUUUGCAUACGUUUUCAAUUUAUCUAUUACAUAGUUAAGCAGAACAAUUAGAUACAUUUGUAUCAAGUCGACGACAUGGGUAUCUAUCAAGUUGGAUGUAGAAAAUGCAUAACCUCAAAUUUUUUUUAACACAGACGGAGAACAUAUCAAUAUAUUAGUUCAGUAAUUUUCGUGUCUGCCCUUCCAUUAUGUGACUCAAGAAAAAAUAAACCACAAUAUGGGUAACAUUUGUAUCGAAAAGAGAAAUCGAGUGCAUCUUUUUAUGUUAGGGCGUGUUUGAGUUGAAUAUUUUGUUUUGAAAACGUAUAAAGCAAGAGUAUUUGAUUCAUCAUCAGAUUCUAUCAUUUUUAUAUAUCAAGGCUACAGGUUGACUUUAUAACAUCAAACAUUCACAGUACUAAAAGAUGAAAUAUAUGGGUCAAGUGAAAUGCAUGCAAGUGAAAUACCUUCUAAUGAAUCAUCAAAACAGAGUAGGUGUGUUCGAAUAGCUAAUAUUUACUAAAAGCACUUGACGACAGUCUUUUAAGUUGGAUCCUAAAAAAUGCAUAUCUU